RNAcentral lists this ribosomal RNA (392 nucleotides) under uncultured Flavobacterium sp. Its description in RNAcentral is "bacterial SSU rRNA". It matches the Rfam family "Bacterial small subunit ribosomal RNA", at positions 1 to 401 of the family's 1533-position model. Lineage: Bacteria; Pseudomonadati; Bacteroidota; Flavobacteriia; Flavobacteriales; Flavobacteriaceae. The record is from RNAcentral.
AGCUGAUUUGAUCCUGGCUCCGGAUGAACGCUAGCGGCAGGCCUAACACAUGCAAGUCGAGGGGUAGAGUUCUUCGGGACUUGAGACCGGCGCACGGGUGCGUAACGCGUAUGCAAUCUACCUUAUACAGGGGAAUAGCCCAGAGAAAUUUGGAUUAAUACCUCAUAGUAUUUUCGAAUCGCAUGAUUUGAUUAUUAAAGUUCCAACGGUAAAAGAUGAGUAUGCGUCCCAUUAGCUAGUUGGUAUGGUAACGGCAUACCAAGGCGACGAUGGGUAGGGGUCCUGAGAGGGAGAUCCCCGACACUGGUACUGAGACACGGACCAGACUCCUACGGGAGCAGCAGUGAGAAUAUUGGACAAUGGGCGAAAGCCUGAUCCAGCCCAUGCCCGCG